UGGGGAAUUUUGGACAAUGGGCGAAAGCCUGAUCCAGCAAUGCCGCGUGUGUGAAGAAGGCCUUCGGGUUGUAAAGCACUUUUGUCCGGAAAGAAAUCCUUGGCUCUAAUACAGUCGGGGGAUGACGGUACCGGAAGAAUAAGCACCGGCUAACUACGUGCCAGCAGCCGCGGUAAUACGUAGGGUGCAAGCGUUAAUCGGAAUUACUAGGCGUAAAGCGUGCGCAGGCGGUUUGCUAAGACCGAUGUGAAAUCCCCGGGCUCAACCUGGGAACUGCAUUGGUGACUGGCAGGCUAGAGUAUGGCAGAGGGGGGUAGAAUUCCACGUGUAGCAGUGAAAUGCGUAGAGAUGUGGAGGAAUACCGAUGGCGAAGGCAGCCCCCUGGGCCAAUACUGACGCUCAUGCACGAAAGCGUGGGGAGCAAACAGGAUUCAGAUACCCUGGUAGUCCACGCCCUAAACGAUGUCAACUAGUUGUUGGGGAUUCAUUUCCUUAGUAACGUAGCUAACGCGUGAAGUUGA
This 521-nucleotide ribosomal RNA is filed under the name uncultured bacterium. Its description in RNAcentral is "partial 16S ribosomal RNA". It matches the Rfam family "Bacterial small subunit ribosomal RNA", at positions 355 to 868 of the family's 1533-position model. The record is from RNAcentral.